UACGUAGGUGGCGAGCGUUAUCCGGAUUCAUUGGGCGUAAAGCGCGCGUAGGCGGCCGCCUAAGCGGAACCUCUAACCCCGGGGCUCAACCUCGGGCCGGGUUCCGGACUGGGCGGCUCGAGUGCGGUAGAGGAGAGCGGAAUUCCCGGUGUAGCGGUGGAAUGCGCAGAUAUCGGGAAGAACACCGAUGGCGAAGGCAGCUCUCUGGGCCGUCACUGACGCUGAGGCGCGAAAGCUGGGGGAGCGAACAGG
Molecule: ribosomal RNA, 252 nt
Filed under: uncultured bacterium
Lineage: Bacteria
Description: partial 16S ribosomal RNA
Rfam family: Bacterial small subunit ribosomal RNA
Source: RNAcentral